GACGAACGCUGGCGGCGUGCUUAACACAUGCAAGUCGAACGGUAAGGCCCUUCGGGGUACACGAGUGGCGAACGGGUGAGUAACACGUGGGUGAUCUGCCCUGCACUUCGGGAUAAGCCUGGGAAACUGGGUCUAAUACCGGAUAGGACCACUGCCUGCAUGGGUGGUGGUGGAAAGCUUUUGCGGUGUGGGAUGGGCCCGCGGCCUAUCAGCUUGUUGGUGGGGUUAUGGCCUACCAAGGCGACGGCGGGGAGCCGGCCUGAGAGGGUUAACCGCCACCAGGGGACUGAGAUACGGCCCAGACGCCUACGGGAGGCAGCAGUGGGGAAUAUUGCACAAUGGGCGCAAGCCUGAUGCAGCGACGCCGCGUGAGGGAUGACGGCCUUCGGGUUGUAAACCUCUUUCAGCACCGACGAAGCGCAAGUGACGGUAGGUGCAGAAGAAGGACCGGCCAACUACGUGCCAGCCGCCGCCGUAA
RNAcentral lists this ribosomal RNA (478 nucleotides) under uncultured bacterium. Its description in RNAcentral is "partial 16S ribosomal RNA". It matches the Rfam family "Bacterial small subunit ribosomal RNA", at positions 28 to 523 of the family's 1533-position model. The record is from RNAcentral.